UUACCCUUUGCAAGGUGGUGGAAGCGGAAACGCCCACACGGCUACUGAACAGCCGAGGACACCUAAACGGAGGGUUUUU
RNAcentral lists this non-coding RNA (79 nucleotides) under unclassified sequences. The record is from RNAcentral.